GGAUGGAUCAUGUAACAAAAUCAUGCGAUGGCGCGCCGUCGGCUUCAUCUUUCCAAAAAAGAGAUCUGGCCACGCGUCUGCCUCAUUCGCAUAUACACACCCACUUGCACGUGGUUUUUGUUCAUGGGCGUAUCGAGCCAUCGAUUGCCCAUGUGUUUAUUUAUUUCACAUAACUCCAUGUUUUAUCAUUACUAAUUCGAAUUGAAACAAAUUUGAACCAAAACAACUUUCAACAACGGAUGUCUUGGUUCCCGCAUCGAUGAAGAACGCCGCGAAAUGCGAUACUUAAUGUGAACCGCAACGCGCGAAUCAUCAAGGUUUCGAACGCACAUUGCGCUGUUCCAGUCUUCUGGGACAGCAUGCCUGUUUGAGCAUCGUUUCAAAACUCAACCCCAACCAACCAACCAACCGUUGGUUGAUUGGGUGUUGGACGCUGAGUGUCCUACCAAUCGAUACACAAAGAGAGAGUGGUAGGUCGCUUGAAAUGGAGAUCCCUUUCUGGAUGCUAGCACCGUUCGUGCUCGCUUCUUGUGCUGUGACGAAGCGGUCAUCUUUGACUGUUUCCCCUUCACAUGAUUGCGCGGCAUGGAGCUGGUAUCAUUCUAAGGAAAGGUCCGAGAACCACAUGCUCGAUCGUCGUCGAUGAUCGAUAUUUUUCAUCGCGAUCUCAAAUCAGGUAAGACCACCCGCUGAACUUAAGCAUAUCAAUAAGCGGAGGAAAAGAAACUAACUAGGAAGCCCUCAGUAACGGCGAGUGAAGCGGGCUAAGCUCAAUAUUCAAAUCUGCGUCCUUUGGGCGUCGAAUUGUAGUUUAGAGGGGCGUUUUCGGUGGUGCGCCGGACAUAAGUGUUCAGGAACGGACCGUCAGAGAGGGUGAUAACCCCGUCUGUGGCCCGGCGAGAUGGCACUGCCGUAUCGAAGCAAACGUUUCCUACGAGUCGGGUUGUUUGGGAAUACAGCCUUAAUUGGGUGGUAGAUGCCAUCUAAAGCUAACCUAUCUGCGGGAGACCGAUAGCGAACAAGUAGCGUGAGCGAAAGAUGAAAAGCACUUUGGAAAGAGAGAGAAAAGGACCUGAAAUUGUUGAAAGGGAAGGGAUUGAAAUCAGUGGUGACCCGAUGAAAUUCGCUUGGUUGCGGUGGUGCCGUGGGGCGGCCGUGAAGUUCAAAGCUCACACCGUUUUGCGUCGUUGCUGUCGGAACUGGGUUACUUUUCGUUGUGGUCGGCCAAUAUCAGUUUGCGCAUUCACGCAGGGAACAAGACUGAUGGGAAGGUAGGGAAGAUGCUGCGUACGUGGCUCUUCCUGUUAUAGCCUGUCGGGGAUUCCGCUGCGGCAGACUGAGGAAAGGCCAUUGUGGCCGCCAUGCACGCGCCUCGGCGAGGCCGUCGGUGGGAAGCCUGUCAAAGGGUUAUGCCCGGCUGAACGGCUGUCGGCGUGCACAGGAUAUUGGCGAAUGGAUUUCCAUCCACCCGUCUUGAAACACGGACCAAGGAGUCCACCGUCUACGCGAGUACGCGGGUGGUAAACCCCAGUGCGAAAUGAAAGUGAAGGCGUCAGUGGGCGCUGAGAUGGGACGGCGCUCGCGAAGAGUGCCCGCACCACCGGCCGAUCUGGAUUCCUCUGUGAUGAAAGAUUUGAGCAAGAGCGUAGCCGAUGGGACCCGAAAGAUGGUGAACUUUGCCUGAGUAGGUUGAAGUCAGUGGAAACACUGAUGGAGGACCGUCGAGAUACUGACGUGCAAAUCGUUCUUCAGACUUGGGUAAAGGGGCGAAAGACUAAUCGAACCAUCUAGUAGCUGGUUCCCUC
Molecule: unclassified non-coding RNA, 1805 nt
Filed under: uncultured fungus
Lineage: Eukaryota; Fungi
Description: sequence contains 18S rRNA gene, ITS1, 5.8S rRNA gene, ITS2, 28S rRNA gene
Rfam family: Eukaryotic large subunit ribosomal RNA (bases 663-1805)
Source: RNAcentral